Long non-coding RNA from Lathyrus oleraceus (garden pea), 408 nucleotides. RefSeq lists it as uncharacterized. The record is from RefSeq and is a predicted model, not a curated record. Lineage: Eukaryota; Viridiplantae; Streptophyta; Magnoliopsida; Fabales; Fabaceae. The transcript has 2 exons.
GGUACAAUCUCACAGUAUACAUAUAUAAAUAGACAUAUAGCAUAUACUAUUUUAUUUGUACAAAGAUGGGCAAUACAAAGAUCUCUGCUCUCACAAUGUUAUUCUUACUAGCUUUCUUCACCUUUGCGUCAGAUAUGUGUAUGAAAUCAGAAGGAAAGGGGUUUGGUGAAAUGAAGACUUGUAAGAUUGAUAAAGAAUGUGAAUCUUACUGUGUGACUGGAAAUGGAGUAUGUGAUCUGGGAUGGUGUUGGUGUUUUCGUCCACCAUCUUCUGUCAACAGUAUUCCUAUUAGAAUAGUCCCAAAUUGAAAAUUAAGAAAUUGAAUAGAGAUGAAAUUAUCUUAUCUAGAUCAAAGUUAUAUGUAAAAUAAAUAUCAAUAAAAAAUAGAAAUAUAUAUUUUAUUACAAA